This 450-nucleotide ribosomal RNA is filed under the name uncultured bacterium. Its description in RNAcentral is "partial 16S ribosomal RNA". It matches the Rfam family "Bacterial small subunit ribosomal RNA", at positions 354 to 796 of the family's 1533-position model. The record is from RNAcentral.
GUGGGGAAUAUUGGACAAUGGGCGAAAGCCUGAUCCAGCCAUGCCGCGUGUGUGAAGAAGGUCUUCGGAUUGUAAAGCACUUUAAGUUGGGAGGACGGGCAGUAAGUUAAUACCUUGCUGUUUUGACGUUACCGACAGAAUAAGCACCGGCUAACUUCGUGCCAGCAGCCGCGGUAAUACGAAGGGUGCAAGCGUUAAUCGGAAUUACUGGGCGUAAAGCGCGCGUAGGUGGUUUUGUAAGUUGGAGGUGAAAUCCCCGGGCUCAACCUGGGAACUGCCUCCAAAACUGCAUGACUAGAGUACGGUAGAGGGUAGUGGAAUUUCCUGUGUAGCGGUGAAAUGCGUAGAUAUAGGAAGGAACACCAGUGGCGAAGGCGACUACCUGGACUGAUACUGACACUGAGGUGCGAAAGCGUGGGGAGCAAACAGGAUUAGAAACCCCUGUAGUCC